CACGUGAUAGCUCAUAACUGUAUGUAACUCCUGGGAUACAUCGUGAUUUUUAGGUGAGUCUGGCUGUAAGUGAGACUCCAUUUCCAAAAGAAGGAAGAGGAGCGAGAGAAGCGGGAUGAGAUGGAAAGUCGCAGCAGCGGGAAAGAAGGGGAAAGGGGUUUAAAAUGGCCGAGGAGAUGCAGUUGGUUUUUUGUUUGUUUGUUUGGUUGGUUGGUUGUUUUUCUCAAAAUGGAUGUGUGAAUGGCCCAAGCCCAUGACGGGAUAGAUGUUCAGCAUACUGGGAGAGAAAAAUCAAAGUCACGACGAGAUAUGCAUUCUUCACUCAUAUCCCACAGGAAGGCUGGACUGAAGCAAAUGUUAAAGAGGAUGGGAGACCCCGAGUCGCUCCACACCCCUGCUGCUGGUGAUGGAGGCUCAACCAGCCAGGUCUCCUCCAAGUGUCGCCAUGGGACCCGAGGCCACAGAGCAUCGGGGGAGAGUGAAGCACAACGGUCUCGUCAGAGGUGCCAGCUGGAGCCGCAAGUUGAGAACUCUGCCUGGUCAGAUGGUAGUCAACGGGGAGUGACCUUGUCGUCGGUACAACAAAUGGAGCCCCGGGUCUCCUGGCUGAUGUCCUGGACUUGGGCAACAGGAAGGAAAGUCCAGUAUUCUGAGCACUGGAUCUAUACGGGCACCUUGAGGAUUCCUGGCCACUCAGACGCUCACUUUUCUGAGUCAGCCAGCAAUACGCCCGCUGACAGAUAGGCAGACUGAAGCUCAGGGAGGUGACCUGCUCCAGGGGAGGUGGGCCUGCCUGAAGCUUCAGUCUUUCUGAACGGUGGGGAAGGGAGCCCCUUGUGCUCAAGGCACCCAGUGCCAGCAUAUACUGGAUAGUGAGCCCAGGACACCUGCAAGACCCAGCAUCACUCCACAGCAGCUGGGCACGAAGCUGCUACCUGGUCUCGCUCCUAUCGGGGGUUUGAUUUGGGUGUGGCCCUCCUUAGGGUUUGCUUUGGGUGUGGCCCUCCUUAGGUGAGAACCAUGGACCUGGAAGCCUCCCUCGCCUCCUUUUUUUUCUUGUUGCUCAGGAUGGAACCCAUUGUUUUGCGGAUCCUGGGGGAAGUGGGCGGUUACUGAGCUGCCCCUGCCUUUCUUGCUCCCCUUUCGGAGCAGGGACAUAGGCUCUGCAGCAUUCAGAAGGAGGAGCCUGUGUUCAUGAUGUCCCCUCAUCCUGGGUCCUUUUUACAGAAUGACGAAGGAAAGUAUCACCAGGGCAGAAUUUCCAGCAUCCUGAGGCCACCCGUACCCAGAUCCAGAGGUUUUGCCCCAGGGUAGAGCAGAUGAGACAAGGCUGUGUGGGUGGAGACUAACCAGGAGCAGGAUUCUGGCACCGGCGUUCCAGCGGGUUGGACUGGGGAGAAAAAGGGGCGCCCUCGCUGUCCUCGUGCUUUUGAUGGCACGGUGCCCUCUGGUGGCGAUAUGGGGCAUCACUCUUCUUUGUUCGUGACCACUGGGUGGCGGCUUUCAAGGCCUAAGGUGGACUUGAUUUUCCUCUUCCAUCUUCCCCCCUGAGUCUUGCACUGGAAUUCCCACCUGCAGCAUAGCGGUCGCUCGGGGAGGGGGUAAAACAAAGCCCUCUGUAGACAGAAGCAGAGGCUUCAGUGGCCCUCGGCCAUGCCUGUCAGCUGACCACUCCCAUUCUUUCUGAUAAUGGAGCUCUGUGUGUUUCGGAAUCGCUGUGACAGAGCUCCCUUUGUCUCCAUGGGCUUGUUUGUAUGAACAAAGUUGCUUAGUGUUCACACCGUUUAAACCCAAAAGUGAGCGUAUAAUUGCAACUGAGAGAGCUGCGCGUGCGCACGUGUACACACACACACACACACACACACACACACACGCACACACACACACACUCUCACACACGCUCACACACGCACGCACACACGCACAUACGCACACAUGCACACACUCUCUCACACACAUUCCAAGGAUAAAUUUUAUCAAAUUAGUACAAAAAUCUGUGGCCAAAGCUGAGUGGAAAUGCAAAGUGGAGCAGGAACCCGUUUUGCUGUUAAGUGCUUCGUGCUUCCUAUUUGUGACAAGAAUCGAGAGAAACAGUUUAACUGGGCAAGUGGGGACUCGAUUCCAACUUCAGAGGUUUCAAUUCGGGGUCACCAGCCCCACUGCCUUUAUGCCUGUCUUUAUGUGGAGAGGAAGAACACAAAGCAGAAAGGGCGCGGCAGGAGAAAGCUGCUCACAUCAUGGCAGACAGGAAACAGAGAGCGAGAGCGAGAGCGAGAGCGAGAGCGAGAGCGAGAGCGAGAGCGAGAGCGAGAGCGAGAGCGAGAGCGAGAGCGAGAGCGAGAGCGAGAGCGAGAGCGAGAGCGAGAGCGAGAGCGAGAGCGAGAGCGAGAGCGAGAGCGAGAGCGAGAGCCAGGGUCUGGAGAGACGCUCUAAGGGCAAGCCUCCCGCAACCCCUUUCUUCUGACAAUGCCCCACCCUUCCAUAGUCCAACCUCUUCCCAACAGUCUAUUAACAAUUUGAAUACAUCAGUGGAUUAAGCCGUAGAUCUCCCCUAACAUCCAAUCCUCUCCGGAAACACCCUCAAGGCAGACUAGGGGUGUUUUACAAAUACAGGUCUUUUCUAGCAGAAGCUUUAAUCCCAGCACUCUGGAGGCAGAGGCAGGGGGAUUUUCAUGUGAGUUUGAGACUAGCCUGGUCUAGUAGCAAGUUUCAGUUUAGCUAGGGUAACACAA
Molecule: long non-coding RNA, 2732 nt
Filed under: Rattus norvegicus (Norway rat)
Lineage: Eukaryota; Metazoa; Chordata; Mammalia; Rodentia; Muridae
Description: long non-coding RNA NONRATT033422
Source: RNAcentral